RNAcentral lists this ribosomal RNA (292 nucleotides) under uncultured bacterium. RNAcentral describes it as "partial 16S ribosomal RNA". The record is from RNAcentral.
GGACUACCAGGGUAUCUAAUCCUGUUUGCUCCCCUUGCUCUCGCGCCUCAGCGUCAGGAAAAAGCUAGAAAACCGCUUUCGCCACAGGUGUUCUUCCACAUAUCUACGCAUUUCACCGCUACACGUGGAAUUCCAUUUUCUCCGCCAUUCCUCAAGACUUGGAGUUUCAAGUGCAGCUCCGAAGUUGAGCUUCGGAAUUUCACACCUGACUUUCAAACCCGCCUACGCGCCCUUUACGCCCAAUAAAUCCGAUUAAUGCUUGCACCCUCCGUAUUACCGCGGCUGCUGGCAC